AGCUUUACUCAGUGGCAGCAUCAUAGCCAAUGAGGUUUAUCUGAGGUGCGAUUAUUGCUAACUGAAAAAUUUUCCCACUGUAGAUUAUCUAGAGUUUCAUGCAAAUGGAAUUAUGCAACAUGUGUACUUUUUUUGUUUAA
Molecule: small nuclear RNA, 140 nt
Filed under: Sus scrofa (pig)
Lineage: Eukaryota; Metazoa; Chordata; Mammalia; Artiodactyla; Suidae
Description: U4 spliceosomal RNA (ENSSSCG00040001986.1, ENSSSCG00105001191.1)
Rfam family: U4 spliceosomal RNA
About the family: U4 small nuclear RNA (U4 snRNA) is a component of the major U2-dependent spliceosome. The structure of U4 snRNA from yeast and human has been reported. U4 snRNA presents a k-turn RNA motif in the 5p-SL related to recognition of Snu13 protein.
Source: RNAcentral